GUACACGCUGUGACUAGCAUAUCAAUAAGCGGAGGAAAAGAAACUAACAAGGAUUCCCCUAGUAACGGCGAGUGAAGCGGGAAGAGCUCAAAUUUGAAAUCUUAAAGGGUUUCCCUUUACGAAUUGUAGUUUAAAGAAGUGUUUUCUGUUGAGGUUUUGGUAAAAGUUCUUUGGAAUAGGACAUCAUAGAGGGUGAGAAUCCCGUAUUUGACCUUUACUUUCAACUUUGUGAUACACUUUCAAAGAGUCGGAUUGUUUGGGAAUGCAGUCCAAAAUGGGUGGUAAAUUUCAUCUAAAGCUAAAUAUUGGCGAGAGACCGAUAGCGAACAAGUACCGUGAGGGAAAGAUGAAAAGAACUUUGAAAAGAGAGUUAAACAGUACGUGAAAUUGUCAAAAGGGAAGCGUUUGACACCAGUGUUGUUUUUCUGAAAAUCAAUUAAAGAACUGUUUAUGCUAAGCUGUUUAGACUUUAUCAGCUAUCUGUUUAGUUUUGAGCUUUCCUUUAAUGCACUUUUCAGUUAACAAGUCAACAUCAAUUUCUUUUGCUGUAAAAAAGCUUGAGGAAGGUGGCUUGAGAUUCGUCUUAAAUGUUUAUAGCCUCUUGCCUAUGCAGUCGGAGAGAUUGAGGUCUGCAGCGUAGAUCCUUCGGGGCUAAAUGCAUUUGUGCUAAGUUAUAGCAUUUUAUAGACAACUUGUUGACUAUGAUUUGUCUUGUAGCUUACUCGCUUAUGUUAUUUUACCUACGCUUAGGAUGUUGACUGAUAUGUAGUCGUA
RNAcentral lists this ribosomal RNA (774 nucleotides) under uncultured Neocallimastigales. Its description in RNAcentral is "partial large subunit ribosomal RNA". It matches the Rfam family "Eukaryotic large subunit ribosomal RNA", at positions 22 to 644 of the family's 3401-position model. The record is from RNAcentral. Lineage: Eukaryota; Fungi; Neocallimastigomycota; Neocallimastigomycetes; Neocallimastigales.